GACGAACGCUGGCGGCGUGCUUAACACAUGCAAGUCGAACGGUGAAGCGCCUUCCUUUUUGGUGGGUGUGGAUGAGUGGCGAACGGGUGAGUAACACGUGAGUAACCUGCCCCCUUCUUCUGGAUAACCGCAUGAAAGUGUGGCUAAUACGGGAUAUUCUGGGUCUGUCGCAUGAUGGGUCUGGGAAAGAUAUUGUUUCGGUGGGGGAUGGGCUCGCGGCCUAUCAGCUUGUUGGUGGGGUGAUGGCCUACCAAGGCGGUGACGGGUAGCCGGCCUGAGAGGGUGGACGGUCACACUGGGACUGAGGCACGGCCAAGACUCAUACGGGAGGCAGCAGGGGGGAAUAGUGCACAAUGGGCGCAAGCCUGAUGCAGCGACGCCGCGUGAGGGAUGGAGGCCUUCGGGUUGUGAACCUCUUUCGCCAGUGAAGCAGGCCUGCCUCGUUUGUGGGUGGGUUGACGGUAGCUGGAUAAGAAGCGCCGGCUAACUACGUG
Molecule: ribosomal RNA, 494 nt
Filed under: uncultured bacterium
Lineage: Bacteria
Description: partial 16S ribosomal RNA
Rfam family: Bacterial small subunit ribosomal RNA
Source: RNAcentral